RNAcentral lists this non-coding RNA (86 nucleotides) under Brevundimonas sp. Root1423. RNAcentral describes it as "Glycine riboswitch aptamer". It matches the Rfam family "Glycine riboswitch aptamer", at positions 9 to 86 of the family's 94-position model. Rfam says of the family: This family represents the bacterial glycine riboswitch. Lineage: Bacteria; Pseudomonadati; Pseudomonadota; Alphaproteobacteria; Caulobacterales; Caulobacteraceae. RNAcentral also lists the same sequence under 1 other name. The record is from Rfam by way of RNAcentral.
CGCUGGAAAGUCGCUCUUCGGAGCGCGCCGACGGAGCAAGGCGACCUCAUUGAGGACGUCGGAAUCUCUCAGGCUUCAGGACAGCG